Molecule: ribosomal RNA, 207 nt
Filed under: Triticum aestivum (bread wheat)
Lineage: Eukaryota; Viridiplantae; Streptophyta; Magnoliopsida; Poales; Poaceae
Description: partial small subunit ribosomal RNA
Source: RNAcentral
AUGGAGAUUCAAGACAUUGAGCAUUGUGGAAUCGAGGUCGAUAGCAAGAUAAAAUGUUUCCAUUGGGAUGAUCCAAUUAAAAAGGUUUCUUUUGAGGGUGUGGACACAGGAAGAAGAUUCAUCGCUUGUAAGAAUGCAAAACCUUGUAAUUUCCGAAUUUGGUAUGAGCCAGAGUGGCCUGCAACUUUGAAACGAGCUCUACAAUAG